RNAcentral lists this ribosomal RNA (445 nucleotides) under uncultured bacterium. Its description in RNAcentral is "bacterial SSU rRNA". It matches the Rfam family "Bacterial small subunit ribosomal RNA", at positions 354 to 796 of the family's 1533-position model. The record is from RNAcentral.
GUGAGGAAUAUUGCGCAAUGGAGGCAACUCUGACGCAGCCAUGCCGCGUGCAGGAAGAAGGCGCUACGCGUUGUAAACUGCUUUUAACCGGGAAGAAACCCCAGGACGUGUCCUGGGUUGACGGUACCGGAGGAAUAAGCACCGGCUAACUUCGUGCCAGCAGCCGCGGUAAUACGAAGGGUGCAAGCGUGAUCCGGAUUCAUUGGGUUUAAAGGGUGCGUAGGCGGAGCGUUAAGUCAGUGGUGAAAUCCUGCAGCUUAACUGUAGACUUGCCAUUGAUACUGGCGCUCUUGAGUGCGCUUGAAGUGGGCGGAAUGUGCCGUGUAGCGGUGAAAUGCUUAGAUAUGGCACAGAACACCAAUUGCGAAGGCAGCUCACUAAGGCGAUACUGACGCUGAGGCACGAAAGCGUGGGGAUCGAACAGGAUUAGAUACCCCUGUAGUCC